AUUGAACGCUGGCGGCAUGCCUUACACAUGCAAGUCGAACGGCAGCCCGGGAGCAAUCCUGGUGGCGAGUGGCGAACGGGAGAGUACUAUAGCGGAACGUGCCCAGUCGUGGGGGACAACGCCACGAAAGCCGUUAUAAUACCGCAUCCGAUCUACGGAUGAAAGCGGGGGACCGCAAGACCUCGCGCGAUUGGAGCGGCCGAAAUCAGAUGAGCUAGUUGGUGGGGUAAAAGCCCACCAAGGCGGGGAUCUGUAGCCGGUCUGAGAGGACGACCAGGCACACUGGAACUGAGACACGGUCCAGACUCCUACGGGAGGCAGCAGUGGGGAAUUUUGGACAAUGGGCGCAAGCCUGACCCAGCAAUGCCGCGUGCAGGAUGAAGGCCUUCGGGUUGUAAACUGCUUUUGUACGGAACGAAACGGCGAGCUCUAAUACAGUUUGCUAAUGACGGUACCGUAAGAAUAAGCACCGGCUAACUACGUGCCAGCCGCCGCCGUAA
Molecule: ribosomal RNA, 500 nt
Filed under: uncultured bacterium
Lineage: Bacteria
Description: partial 16S ribosomal RNA
Rfam family: Bacterial small subunit ribosomal RNA
Source: RNAcentral